GACGAACGCUGGCGGCGUGCCUAAUACAUGCAAGUAGAACGCUGAAGGAGGAGCUUGCUUCUCUGGAUGAGUUGCGAACGGGUGAGUAACGCGUAGGUAACCUGCCUGGUAGCGGGGGAUAACUAUUGGAAACGAUAGCUAAUACCGCAUAAUAGUAGAUGUUGCAUGACAUUUGCUUAAAAGGUGCAAUUGCAUCACUACCAGAUGGAUCUGCGUUGUAUUAGCUAGUUGGUGGGGUAACGGCUCACCAAGGCGACGAUACAUAGCCGACCUGAGAGGGGGGUCGGCCACACUGGGACUGAGACACGGCCCAGACUCCUACGGGAGGCAGCAGUAGGGAAUCUUCGGCAAUGGACGGAAGUCUGACCGAGCAACGCCGCGUGAGUGAAGAAGGUUUUCGGAUCGUAAAGCUCUGUUGUAAGAGAAGAACGAGUGUGAGAGUGGAAAGUUUACACUGUGACGGUAUCUUACCAGAAAGGGACGGCUAACUACGUG
This 495-nucleotide ribosomal RNA is filed under the name uncultured bacterium. RNAcentral's name for it is "partial 16S ribosomal RNA". It matches the Rfam family "Bacterial small subunit ribosomal RNA", at positions 28 to 507 of the family's 1533-position model. The record is from RNAcentral.